AAAUAGAAAGAAAGAAGUUAAAGAAAAAGGAAAAAAAGAGAAAAAAGAGAGAAGAAAAUAGGGGUGAUGGCGACUUUUCGCUGCUCUUCUCCUUCUCAUUUGGGCAUGUCCCUUCUCCUACUUUGG
Molecule: non-coding RNA, 126 nt
Filed under: Palpitomonas bilix
Lineage: Eukaryota
Source: RNAcentral